UGCAGGCAAAGGGACAGACUGUGUUUGGAGUCAAGGCCUUAGGAGGCAUCCUGCAUUUCUGCUCAUGGUUCUGGACUCCUGUGAUCUGGGUCAGAAGAAUAAGUAGUCCUAAGAAGAACAAAUGAGGGACAUACAGAGCAGGCCUGAACCAACUCAAAGUCCAAAGCCAAGCCGAGAUGACAAGCACUUAGAGCAGAGCUGCUUCUGCUGACCCACAGGCCUGUACUCAGGAGGAAUAGACACCUUCUCUAAGCCACUGAGUCGGAGGGGUUUGUUGGGUAGGUUAUAUGGUAGUAAGUGUCUCAGGCCGAGUUCUCCAGGAAGCAGACUCUGACACAGAAUUGUGUGCAGGAGGUUUGUUACAGAAGGUCCAUGGAACCUAUACCUGUGGAAGGCAGGGAAAGCAAGCUGGACUCAGCAGAGGGGGAAGCUGAGCUGAGCUGGGCACAGUCCCAGUGAAGGUUCAGCUCUGGGCUGUCCCAGGUUGGGGUGAGGGGUUUUAAUACCUCUGAGUUGACCAGAUGUCUCAUUCAGUUGCUCUAGGAAGGAGUAUGACCUUGGGCCAAGCACUGUCCUUGAGUGGAAGCACUUCCCUGAGAAAGUUACUGACAGUGCUCUGUGCAUCUGGAGGAAUAAGUCCUUCAUUCCCAAAAGGGGAUCUGGGCAGUACACCCAGAGUCCUCGACUAUAACUGACUGAUAUGAUGGUGUCCAUCAGAUUUCAGGACUGCUUCCCCACGUCUUUACUGCUACGGAUCAAAGAUUUCAAAUACAUUUGAUUAUUCCUAAAAUACCAUUGAGGUAACAGACCUGCUACCAUCUAAUAAGUUGCAAAGAAAAACAUCACUAAUGUUGGCUUACAAGCUCAGUUUUACAAUGCUUGCUGCCUGGGGCGUGACCUGCACAAAGCAGACAGCAAAGGGUUUUAGCACUUGUGACUUAUUCCAUGUGAAUAUGUCCUUCCUGGAGCCACUGAGAUGGCUCUCCUUAUGAAGAUGCAGUACACACCCUGCUUCCCCUGGAAACCCAAAAACAGUGACAUGAGCCCUGACCUGUCCUGUUCCACUCAGCUGAUGAGGCUUAUAGAGAGGUGAGACUUAAGGGUCCCUUCACAGCUCAACAGUUGUGGGAGAAACAGCUCUAUCCGACCUCCACAGAACAGAACAAAGCUACACCAGAGGGAAUGAGCUCCUUGAACUCCUCACCCAUGGCAUCCCAUAAGCAGUUGACCUUGGGUACCUGGGAGCAUUGAGUCACUCCCCAAGGUCACCCAGUGACUCACUGGCAUAUUGUUAGCAUCAUCUACCAUUCCUUUCCUUCUUAGAAGAAAAGCUGGAAUGGAAAGGAUAUGUCAAGGAGAUAUUAGAGCCGCAUUGGGGAAAGCUGUAUUAGAAAACUCUGCUGUCUUUUUUUUUUUUUUUCCUGCUGGCUUUAAAUAACCAAGGCAUAAGAAACCAAGCUCAUAAAUUAACAUUGCAGUUUGUGUAUAGAUUCCCAUGAGGGGUAUUUUGCAAGUCACCCAGCCUUCUCCUUCGGUUCCUCCGGGUGGCGCUGCAUACUGACAUCUGACAACUGAGGGCGCAGACGCUCCAGGUGAACAGUGCAGUUAGAUCUAGGAGUACAGGGUCAGGUUACUUGCUCUGAACUUAACCUCUGCACACCAUCUUCAGAAGUAAAGAACUAAAGCAACCAUCAAGACAUUGGACGGGACUCCUCGCCUUGGUGGCUGACCACAGACCCUAAAGGCUAAUUCAACUUCGAGGACUGACAGUGUACAACUAGCAAAUACACAAGCCAGGGGCAUCUUCCAGCUGAAACCAGAGCCGGAGGCAUCUGGAUCGCUUUGCCAGAAUGAGGCAGAGAGGGAUGGUCAAGGUAAAGCUGGAAGAAUCCAUCCUUCCUUUCCAGGACAGGGCUGGGCAGCCUGCCAACGUAGACUUCUCUAAGAAACACCUGGGAACCAGGAGGCUGGAGAGGCCUGGGACCUGAUCACGCAGCCCGUCCAAAUGUGAACUAACUGUUACCAUUUCAAAACUGCUGCUUCAGACAGAUUCCAGGGGAUGGGCUUCCUCCACCCUGGAGGAUCUGCAGGUGGUGCAUAGAGCAUGCUCCAGAGGCCCAGAGGCCCCAGCUGCCCAAGGACAGCUCAGGCAGUGGGUACUGUGCAUGGGUAGGCCAUGCAGGUCAGGAAAGCUAGGGAGCUAGAACAGGGCAAGUGUAGGGAGAGGCUAGGUCAUGGUGGUGAGAUCUCGGGGAUGUAAGGCAUCUGCUUCAUUCUAAGACCUAACAAACACACAUGCACACACUCCCUCUGAAGAGAGAGCUAGAAGAUACUUCUUCCUGUCACAGAAGACCCAGGCUGACUGGGUGGGGUAUCCGUCAUCGAAUAGGAGAUAUCUCACAGUCCUUGUUGUAGGAUCCCUUCAGAAAACAAGUCCCAAGCAAGACAGAUGAUGGCCAGUUAACAACUUCUGCUCCAGGGUGAUUUGGGGGGCUGGGCCUCCUCCAUGCUAGAGUCUAUAUAGGUGUUUGGGCCCCAGCUCCACAGCCUGGAGGGUUCCAGCUGCCUCAGGCUGGCUGUGGGGGUCCAAACUCCGUGUACUCAGAAAUUACAGUUUAAGGUAGCCAGAAACCCGGAAAAGGGCAUGGAUCCAGGGAGGAUGUUGUAGACACAAGGCAUCUGCCUCAAUCCAAGUCCUAACCUAUGUAGAUUCACGCAUUCCCUUUGAAAACAGGGCUGGAUGAUACUGGGCUGCCUCACCAGGGCAGGGCCAAGAGGACUGGCUGGGGCAUCUAUCAUCCAACAAGACACCUGGCAUGCAUGUGUAGUGCAGUUCAGGGUUGCCAGACCUAGAACGAGACGUUUGGUCUCUAGAGCCUGGGUCAGAGGAAUCCCUCUUGGGGAUGUCAACCUUAAAAAAGAAAUCACUUAUUUUACCAGCAAAUGAGUUUAUUUGGGGAUAGCAGAGGAAUUGAAACUCAAGACAAACAAGCUAUGGCAAACCAUAGGCGAGUGGAAAAGACCAAGAGAAGGUCAGCUUUUAUUAUAUUUUAGGAGGAUAGUGGGGAGGAUUGUUUUGAACAAAAGUUCACUGGAGAACAACUACAGUUUAAAGAUAUGGCGAUAUCUCAUUGGCCGCAAGAUGGUUAGUGCAUUUUUGUUGGGGCAGGGAGAGAUCUUGUUUUUCUUAAAAGCAAAAGAUAAAUUCCUAUGAGACUAGUGUCCUCUUUUGUCAAUGUAAGAAUUAUCUUCCUUCGGGGGUCCCUGGUUUAGCUCAUUGGUUUAGCCCCUGCCUUCUGCCCAGGGCUUGAUCCUGGCAUCCCAGGAUUGAGUCCCACGUCGGACUCCUGCAUUAAGCCUGCUUCUCUC
Canis lupus familiaris (dog) is the source of this 3369-nucleotide long non-coding RNA. RefSeq lists it as uncharacterized. The record is from RefSeq and is a predicted model, not a curated record. Lineage: Eukaryota; Metazoa; Chordata; Mammalia; Carnivora; Canidae. The transcript is spliced from 4 exons.